ACGAACGCUGGCGGCGUGCUUAACACAUGCAAGUCGAACGGAAAGGCCCUGCUUUUGUGGGGUGCUCGAGUGGCGAACGGGUGAGUAACACGUGAGUAACCUGCCCUUGACUUUGGGAUAACUUCAGGAAACUGGGGCUAAUACCGGAUAGGAGCUCCUGCUGCAUGGUGGGGGUUGGAAAGUUUCGGCGGUUGGGGAUGGACUCGCGGCUUAUCAGCUUGUUGGUGGGGUAAUGGCUUACCAAGGCUUUGACGGGUAGCCGGCCUGAGAGGGUGACCGGCCACAUUGGGACUGAGAUACGGCCCAGACUCCUACGGGAGGCAGCAGUGGGGAAUAUUGCACAAUGGGCGGAAGCCUGAUGCAGCAACGCCGCGUGCGGGAUGACGGCCUUCGGGUUGUAAACCGCUUUCGCCUGUGACGAAGCGUGAGUGGCGGUAAUGGGUAAAGAAGCACCGGCUAACUACGUG
RNAcentral lists this ribosomal RNA (467 nucleotides) under uncultured bacterium. RNAcentral describes it as "partial 16S ribosomal RNA". It matches the Rfam family "Bacterial small subunit ribosomal RNA", at positions 29 to 507 of the family's 1533-position model. The record is from RNAcentral.